UCAAGUGGCCCCACCAUUCCUGGGAGAGCCCGUUACCAUCCGAUCUCAGAAGCUAAGUAGGGCCAAACCAGGUUAAUACUGGGAUGGGAGACCACCUUUGAAGACCAGGGGCCUUGUGUG
This 120-nucleotide ribosomal RNA is filed under the name Mastacembelus armatus (zig-zag eel). The record is from RNAcentral. Lineage: Eukaryota; Metazoa; Chordata; Actinopteri; Synbranchiformes; Mastacembelidae.